ACCUUCGGGUCUAGUGGCGCACGGGUGCUAACGCGUGGGAAUCUGCCCUUCGGUUCGGAAUAACAGUUAGAAAUGACUGCUAAUACCGGAUAAUGACGUAAGNCAAAGAUUUAUCGCCGAGGGAUGAGCCCGCGUAGGAUUAGCUUGUUGGUGGGGUAAUGGCCUACCAAGGCGACGAUCCUUAGCUGGUCUGAGAGGAUGAUCAGCCACACUGGGACUGAGACACGGCCCAGACUCCUACGGGAGGCACCAGUGGGGAAUAUUGGACAAUGGGCGAAACGUGAUCCAGCAAUGCCGCGUGAGUGAUGAAGGCCUUAGGUUGUAAGCUCUUUNACCAGGAUGAUAAUGACAGUACGUAGAUA
This 362-nucleotide ribosomal RNA is filed under the name uncultured bacterium. RNAcentral describes it as "bacterial SSU rRNA". It matches the Rfam family "Bacterial small subunit ribosomal RNA", at positions 82 to 464 of the family's 1533-position model. The record is from RNAcentral.